GAGGUUGUGGCUCAGUGGUAGAGCGCUUGCCUAGCAUGCAUGAGGCCCUGGAGUCGAUCCUCAGCACCACA
Molecule: non-coding RNA, 71 nt
Organism: Ictidomys tridecemlineatus (thirteen-lined ground squirrel)
Lineage: Eukaryota; Metazoa; Chordata; Mammalia; Rodentia; Sciuridae
Source: Rfam